GACGAACGCUGGCGGCGUGCUUAACACAUGCAAGUCGAACGGUGAAGCUCCAGUUUGUUGGAGUGGCUCAGUGGCGAACGGGUGAGUAACACGUUAGCAACCUGCCCCUGACUCUGGAAUAAGCGCUGGAAACGGCGUCUAAUACUGGAUCCUAGACGGGUCCGCAUGGGCACUUUCUGGACAGUUUUUCGGUCGGGGAUGGGCUCGCGGCCUAUCAGCUUGUUGGUGAGGUAAUCGCUCACCAAAGCGACGACGGGUAGCCGGCCUGAGAGGGCGACCGGCCAAACGGGGACUGAGAGACGGCCCAGACUCAUACGGAAGGCAGCAGUGGGGAAUAUUGCAAAAUGAGCGAAAGACUGAGGCAGAGGCGCCGCGUGAGGGAUGACGGCUUUCGGGUUAUAAACCUCUUUCAGCAGGGAAGAAGCGAAAGUGACGGUACCUGCAGAAGAAGCACCGGCUAACUACGUG
This 468-nucleotide ribosomal RNA is filed under the name uncultured bacterium. Its description in RNAcentral is "partial 16S ribosomal RNA". It matches the Rfam family "Bacterial small subunit ribosomal RNA", at positions 28 to 507 of the family's 1533-position model. The record is from RNAcentral.